CAGCCGCCGCGGUAAUACGAAGGGGGCUAGCGUUGCUCGGAAUGACUGGGCGUAAAGGGAGCGUAGGCGGACAUUUAAGUCAGGGGUGAAAUCCCAGAGCUCAACUCUGGAACUGCCUUUGAUACUGGGUGUCUUGAGUGUGAUAGAGGUAUGCGGAACUCCGAGUGUAGAGGUGAAAUUCGUAGAUAUUCGGAAGAACACCAGUGGCGAAGGCGACAUACUGGAUCAUUACUGACGCUGAGGCUCGAAAGCGUGGGGAGCAAACAGGAUUAGAUACCCCCGUAGUCCCUGUCUCUUAUAA
Molecule: ribosomal RNA, 301 nt
Filed under: uncultured bacterium
Lineage: Bacteria
Description: partial 16S ribosomal RNA
Rfam family: Bacterial small subunit ribosomal RNA
Source: RNAcentral